CAAUAGCGUAUAUUAAAGUUGUUGCGGUUAAAAAGCUCGUAGUUGGAUUUCUGCCGAGGACGACCGGUCCGCCCUCCGGGUGAGUAUCUGGCUCGGCCUGGGCAUCUUCUUGGAGAACGUAGCUGCACUUGGCUGUGUGGUGCGGUAUUCAGGACUUUUACUUUGAGGAAAUUAGAGUGUUUCAAGCAGGCAUACGCCUUGAAUACAUUAGCAUGGAAUAAUAAGAUAGGACCUCGGUUCUAUUUUGUUGGUUUCUAGAUCUGAGGUAAUGAUUAAUAGGGAUAGUUGGGGGCAUUCGCAUUUAACUGUCGGAGGUGAAAUUCUUGGAUUUGUUAAAGACGGACUACUGCGAAAGCAUUUGCCAAGGAUGUUUUCAUUGA
RNAcentral lists this ribosomal RNA (380 nucleotides) under uncultured eukaryote. RNAcentral's name for it is "partial 18S ribosomal RNA". It matches the Rfam family "Eukaryotic small subunit ribosomal RNA", at positions 592 to 976 of the family's 1831-position model. The record is from RNAcentral.